AGUGAACGCUGGCCGUAGGCCUAACACAUGCAAGUCGAACGGCAGCACAGUAAGAGCUUGCUCUUACGGGUGGCGAGUGGCGGACGGGUGAGGAAUACAUCGGAAUCUACUUUUUCGUGGGGGAUAACGUAGGGAAACUUACGCUAAUACCGCAUACGACCUACGGGUGAAAGCAGGGGAUCUUCGGACCUUGCGCGAUUGAAUGAGCCGAUGUCGGAUUAGCUAGUUGGCGGGGUAAAGGCCCACCAAGGCGACGAUCCGUAGCUGGUCUGAGAGGAUGAUCAGCCACACUGGAACUGAGACACGGUCCAGACUCCUACGGGAGGCAGCAGUGGGGAAUAUUGGACAAUGGGCGCAAGCCUGAUCCAGCCAUACCGCGUGGGUGAAGGAGGCCUUCGGGUUGUAAAGCCCUUUUGUUGGGAAAGAAAAGCAGCAGGUUAAUACCCCGCUGUUCUGACGGUACCCAAAGAAUAAGCACCGGCUAACUUCGUG
RNAcentral lists this ribosomal RNA (492 nucleotides) under uncultured bacterium. Its description in RNAcentral is "partial 16S ribosomal RNA". It matches the Rfam family "Bacterial small subunit ribosomal RNA", at positions 29 to 507 of the family's 1533-position model. The record is from RNAcentral.